CCCGACCUCCCGUCUCUCUGGGUGGCGACCACUCCAGGGUCACGCAGGUCUCGUUCACUGUGGAGAUGGGGUUCUCUGGUGCAGACGGCGGACCUGAGAUCAGUAUUAAAUAUCGCCAAGAUGGUCAGUUUGAGCGCACCGCAAACCUCCGACACAUAGUCAAGGUUUGCUCACCCAGCACAACCCACUGCACCAGACUCCACUGAGCUAUAUGACGUCCCGUCUCCCAAAGCCACCUCGACGUCCAGGGCUUUCACUGUGGCCUACACCUCGGCGGUGCAAAC
Long non-coding RNA from Scophthalmus maximus (turbot), 284 nucleotides. RefSeq lists it as uncharacterized. The transcript is spliced from 3 exons. The record is from RefSeq and is a predicted model, not a curated record. Lineage: Eukaryota; Metazoa; Chordata; Actinopteri; Pleuronectiformes; Scophthalmidae.